GUAGGCAUAGUUUAAAUAAAACAUUAGAUUGUGAUUCUAAAAACAGAAGUUAAAGCCUUCUUACCCACC
This 69-nucleotide transfer RNA is filed under the name Trimma flammeum. RNAcentral's name for it is "tRNA-His". It matches the Rfam family "tRNA". Rfam says of the family: Transfer RNA (tRNA) molecules are approximately 80 nucleotides in length. Their secondary structure includes four short double-helical elements and three loops (D, anti-codon, and T loops). Further hydrogen bonds mediate the characteristic L-shaped molecular structure. tRNAs have two regions of fundamental functional importance: the anti-codon, which is responsible for specific mRNA codon recognition, and the 3' end, to which the tRNAs corresponding amino acid is attached (by aminoacyl-tRNA synthetases). tRNAs cope with the degeneracy of the genetic code in two manners: having more than one tRNA (with a specific anti-codon) for a particular amino acid; and 'wobble' base-pairing, i.e. permitting non-standard base-pairing at the 3rd anti-codon position. Lineage: Eukaryota; Metazoa; Chordata; Actinopteri; Gobiiformes; Gobiidae. The record is from RNAcentral.